CGCAGCCAGGAACUGAAAGGGGCCUGCCCCAGCCAGGGGAGCUGGAGGGGCUCCUCGGAGAGCCGCUUGGUGUCCUGGGGGCAGAGCUCCAUCCUGCUGCUCCCUAGGAAUCCCAGGCUGGCUCCCUCCGCACCACACACUCUAAAUAAGGCGCUGUUCCAGCCUUUCACAUUCCCCGUUGCAUAUCAUCCUCCAGCCUGCGAGGUGUGUGAGGUGGACUGAGUACCAGCUCCCCAAGAUUCCUGUGUCCUAUUCCCCAAAACUGUCUCUCCAUUCUAGCCCCUGGACAAUAGGGGCUCUCCUGUCCCCUACCUCCCCAGGGAGACAUGAGGUGAAUGGGCCUCCGAGUAGGAUUUUGUAUUCAUGGAACCAUCCACAGAUACCACUUGGGGAAUCCUUGGAUUUAGAACCUUCAGUGACAGAGGAGUGACUGUAAGAGACUUGUUCAUCCUUUGCGUUUUGGUAUUUUCCGGG
This is a long non-coding RNA of Talpa occidentalis (Iberian mole), 474 nucleotides long. RefSeq lists it as uncharacterized. The record is from RefSeq and is a predicted model, not a curated record. The transcript has 4 exons. NCBI's taxonomy places the organism in Eukaryota, Metazoa, Chordata, Mammalia, Eulipotyphla, Talpidae.